CAUUUAGAGGAAGUAAAAGUCGUAACAAGGUUUCCGUAGGUGAACCUGCGGAAGGAUCAUUAUUGAUAAACUUUUUUUUAGUUUCUUCAUAUUCCCUGUUUAUAUUAAAUACGUUCCUUCCAUCGGACAGGUCUUCAGGACCCUUCAGCUUGGGCAAAUGCACUUGCUGGGGAGCUGCCGGUGGCAUUUCUAACCGAAAAAGAAAACUUUGUCAUCAUACACUGUCUGAUUUACUUUUGAAACUAAAUAAAACUUUCAACAACGGAUCUCUAGGCUCUUGCAUCGAUGAAGAACGCAGUGAAAUGCGAUAAGUAAUGUGAAUUGCAGAAUCUCGUGAAUCAUCGAAUCUUUGAACGCACAUUGCGCCCUAUGGUAUUCCGUAGGGCAUGCCUGUCUGAGCGUCAGCUCCCACCCACUCAAGUCUUUUUAGAUUUGGAUUACCUUGAGGAAGUGUCAUUUUUUAUAGUGCUGCUCCUCAGAAAUUCAUAGGCAAUACGGCAAAUCCUGAACCGGGCGUAAUAAGGAUAUAAAAUCGUCAAGGCAGGCAAUCUGUAUUAGUCUUUAACCCCCCCCAUUUACUUAUAUUUGGGUGACCUCAGAUCAGGUAGGGAUACCCGCUGAACUUAAGCAUAUCAAUAAGCGGAGGAAAAGAAACC
RNAcentral lists this ribosomal RNA (656 nucleotides) under uncultured Pezizales. RNAcentral describes it as "eukaryotic LSU rRNA". The stretch from base 251 to 404 matches the Rfam family "5.8S ribosomal RNA". The record is from RNAcentral. Lineage: Eukaryota; Fungi; Ascomycota; Pezizomycetes; Pezizales.